Molecule: transfer RNA, 41 nt
Filed under: Eutreptiella gymnastica
Lineage: Eukaryota; Euglenozoa; Euglenophyceae; Eutreptiales; Eutreptiaceae
Description: partial Selenocysteine transfer RNA
Source: RNAcentral
GUUGGUGGGAAACGGGAGUCGUGGGUUCGAUUCCCACAUGC